This 1028-nucleotide long non-coding RNA is filed under the name Pan troglodytes (chimpanzee). Its description in RNAcentral is "long non-coding RNA NONPTRT000612". Lineage: Eukaryota; Metazoa; Chordata; Mammalia; Primates; Hominidae. The record is from RNAcentral.
GAGGAUUAUCUCUUGUCACACAGCCUGGAAGAUGUGUCGCUGGUUGUGGAAGCGGAGCUCGGUCAGCGUGUUGUUCUGGAGGAGGGCCCGGAAGAUGGCCAGGAUGCCUUUGCCUGUGAUGUGGUUGGAGUCCAGGUUGAGGCUGGUGAUGGUCUUGUUGGCCUUGAGCAUGAUGGCAAUGGCAAAGGCCACAUGGUCAUCGGCUCGCGUGUUGGCCAAGGCGAACACCUUAACCACAGUGUUGAACUCCAGAGCCUCAGUAAACCGGACCAAGAUCUCAUUUGUGAUGCAGUCUGAGUUGUUGACAUUCACCUCAGUCAUCUCGGGGUCGUUGUUCUUCACUCUCUCCAGAGGCUCAUCAAAUAUGCUGGGAGCUGCCUCCUCCUCUACCUUGGCCGGACCUUCAGAGGGCUUGGUGGGGCCACUGGGCAUCUGUUUCUCGGGUGUUUUGGUCUUGCUGUCAUCCUUGGCUUCCUUUUCAUGUAAGAGUUCAUUCUUCUUGACUUUUUCAUCCUCCUUUUUGGUGUCUGUGUUCCCAGUUCCUCUUUUUACCUUCUCAUCCUCCUUUUUCAUGUCUGUGUUCCCACCUGCUCUUUUCAUCUUCUCACCCUCUUUUCUGGUGUCUGUGUUCCUACGCUCCCCUUUUACCUUCUCAUCAUCCUCUUUCUUGGCCACCUCCUUCAUCUCCUCCCUCUUUUUAUCCUUGUCCCUGCUCAAGCCUGUGUUCCUGUCACUCCCUUUCUUCUCCUCUUCCUUCUUGGUGGCCACUGCCCUCUCCUCUCCUCUCCCAUCCUUCCCUGCCUCCUUCUUAUCCACUGCAGCCCUGACCCGGCCCUUGUCAAUGCCCCGGAUGAUCUUCUCCUCCUUGGGCUUCUCGCCACUCUUGCCAUCAGCUUCAUCUCUGUCUCUAGAGAAGCUUUUCUUUAAACCACCCCUCUUUGGCUCCUUCCCCAGAUCUGAGUCCCGUCUGGGGCCCAGGGCUUUUUUGCUGGCAUCUCUGCCCCUUUCCUCUCCAUUCUUGGCAUCUG